UGAAUCAUCGUAAAACUCAGAAGAAAAUCCAGAAUCAGCAUGAGCCUGAAGUGAAAGGAACAGACAUGAAUUUUUCAGCCCUGGGGAGGAGGAGAGUCAGCGGAGAGGUGGGAGCACAGGAGAUUGGCUUGAAGUUCAUACAGGAGACUGCAGUCCAAAGAGAAAUAUUGGUAAUUAGCAGAGGUAUGGAGCACGCUGGGGAUUCAUCAGAGGCUGUAGAAGGGAGACUACUAAAUGAAAGCCACAACAGCUGAGCAGGAGAGCCCGUGGAUGCAGAUUAGUGUGUGAGAUAAAAAGCCACCAUGUCUCCAGGAAAACAACAGGAGCCUGCAGGGGAACACAGAGCUGGAGGACACUGCUAGCCAUGCUGUCGAUAGCGCUGCAGUCACCUUCAGGAUGAUGAGCCACGAACUCAUCUUGGGGCUCUUCAGGAGCGUGGAAACACAACCUCUAAGUGAGCUGGGAUGAGCAGCAAAGCCUGGGGAAGAGUUCCGAGCAGACAGCCUUUCAUCCAGAGGAAUGCAGGAGAGAACAAGCACGGCUGGGUGGUGGAACAAGUGAUCCUAUCUCCCCCUCUGCUGGAAACCCACGAUAUGACCUCCAGACAGAAACAGGAGCCCAUAUAGAGGAAUCUGCCCUGUCUUUUUCCGCAGGACCACGACUCUGAAGUCACAACCUCCCGAUUCUCCAACAGUGC
Long non-coding RNA from Apus apus (common swift), 697 nucleotides. RefSeq lists it as uncharacterized. The transcript is spliced from 7 exons. The record is from RefSeq and is a predicted model, not a curated record. Lineage: Eukaryota; Metazoa; Chordata; Aves; Apodiformes; Apodidae.